GGAAAAUAGUAAAGGAAACCAUAGCAGAACUAGGAUGUAAAACACAUAGUAGAGGGGUAGUAUUUAAAAUAAGAUGGACAUACCAGUUACAAAGUAACAGAAUAGAAUAGCAGAGUAACCACGGCAAGCAAACAGAAGAAACAACUCAGAUUUUUAGCAGAACGCUCGAAGAUUCAAAGAGAACUAAAAGGUGUUUCAGAAAGCAAAGAGGAAAAGUACAUAGAACUGAAAUGUGUAUUUGAGAGGAGAAGAGAUAGAAAACAGACUGCCUAUUAUUUAU
RNAcentral lists this long non-coding RNA (280 nucleotides) under Nicotiana benthamiana. RNAcentral describes it as "long non-coding RNA (NBEN_LNC012373)". Lineage: Eukaryota; Viridiplantae; Streptophyta; Magnoliopsida; Solanales; Solanaceae. The record is from RNAcentral.